AGAUUGACGCUGAGGCACGAAAGUGUGGGGAUCAAACAGGAUUGGAUACCCUGGUAGUCCACACUGUAAACGAUGAUAACUCGCUGUCGGCGAUAUACAGUCGGUGGCCAAGCGAAAGCGAUAAGUUAUCCACCUGGGGAGUACGACCGCAAGGUUGAAACUCAAAGGAAUUGACGGGGGCCCGCACAAGCGGAGGAACAUGUGGUUUAAUUCGAUGAUACGCGAGGAACCUUACCCGGGCUCGAACGGUGCAGGAAUAUGGUAGAGAUAUCAUAGCUAGCAAUAGUCUGUAUCGAGGUGCUGCAUGGUUGUCGUCAGCUCGUGCCGUGAGGUGUCGGCUUAAGUGCCAUAACGAGCGCAACCCUUGUCAUUAGUUACCAUCAGGUCAAGCUGGGGACUCUAAUGAGACUGCCACCGUAAGGUGAGAGGAAGGGGGGGAUGACGUCAAAUCAGCACGGCCCUUAUGUCCGGGGCGACACACGUGUUACAAUGGGGGGUACAGAGGGCAGCCAUCCGGCGACGGAGCGCCAAUCUCAAAAACCCUUCUCAGUUCGGAUUGGAGUCUGCAACCCGACUCCAUGAAGUUGGAUUCGCUAGUAAUCGCGCAUCAGCCA
This 614-nucleotide ribosomal RNA is filed under the name uncultured bacterium. RNAcentral's name for it is "bacterial SSU rRNA". It matches the Rfam family "Bacterial small subunit ribosomal RNA", at positions 737 to 1354 of the family's 1533-position model. The record is from RNAcentral.